Molecule: ribosomal RNA, 492 nt
Filed under: uncultured bacterium
Lineage: Bacteria
Description: bacterial SSU rRNA
Rfam family: Bacterial small subunit ribosomal RNA
Source: RNAcentral
GUAAACGAUGAUAACUCGCUGUCGGCGAUAUAAAGUCGGUGGCCAAGCGAAAGCGAUAAGUUAUCCACCUGGGGAGUACGACCGCAAGGUUGAAACUCAAAGGAAUUGACGGGGGCCCGCACAAGCGGAGGAACAUGUGGUUUAAUUCGAUGAUACGCGAGGAACCUUACCCGGGCUCGAACGGUGCAGGAAUACUUCAGAGAUGGAGUAGCUAGCAAUAGUCUGUAUCGAGGUGCUGCAUGGUUGUCGUCAGCUCGUGCCGUGAGGUGUCGGCUUAAGUGCCAUAACGAGCGCAACCCUUGUCGUUAGUUGCCAUCAGGUAAAGCUGGGGACUCUAGCGAGACUGCCACCGUAAGGUGUGAGGAAGGGGGGGAUGACGUCAAAUCAGCACGGCCCUUACGUCCGGGGCGACACACGUGUUACAAUGGCAGGUACAGAGGGGAGCUACCCAGCGAUGGGGUGCGAAUCUCAAAAGCCUGUCUCAGUUCGGAU